CUGUAAUACCCUCCUUGGGUGUUUCCUCCCUAGAUUUGACCGCGCCCAACGGCGCGGUUUUUUUUGACUGCC
Molecule: small RNA, 72 nt
Filed under: Ensifer adhaerens
Lineage: Bacteria; Pseudomonadati; Pseudomonadota; Alphaproteobacteria; Hyphomicrobiales; Rhizobiaceae
Description: suhB
Rfam family: Makes More Granules Regulator RNA (mmgR)
About the family: SuhB later renamed mmgR (makes more granules regulator) was a putative non-coding RNA found multiple times in the Agrobacterium tumefaciens genome and related alpha-proteobacteria. Other non-coding RNAs uncovered in the same analysis include: speF, ybhL, metA, and serC. Several studies inSinorhizobium meliloti showed that suhB element is indeed a non-coding RNA:firstly it was detected on Northern blot and called Sm8RNA, secondly in an RNAseq study referred to as SmelC689.
Source: RNAcentral